AGCGAACGCUGGCGGCAGGCCUAACACAUGCAAGUCGAACGAACCUUUCGGGGUUAGUGGCGGACGGGUGAGUAACACGUGGGAACGUGCCUUUAGGUUCGGAAUAACUCAGGGAAACUUGUGCUAAUACCGAAUGUGCCCUUCGGGGGAAAGAUUAAUCGCCUUUAGAGCGGCCCGCGUCUGAUUAGCUAGUUGGUUGAGGUAAUGGCUCACCAAGGCGACGAUCAGUAGCUGGUCUGAGAGGAUGAUCAGCCACAUUGGGACUGAGACACGGCCCAAACUCCUACGAGAGGCAGCAGUGGGGAAUCUUGCGCAAUGGGCGAAAGCCUGACGCAGCCAUGCCGCGUGAAUUAUGAAGGUCUUAGGAUUGUAAAAUUCUUUCACCGGGGACGAUAAUGACGGUACCCGGAGAAGAAGCCCCGGCUAACUUCGU
RNAcentral lists this ribosomal RNA (433 nucleotides) under uncultured bacterium. RNAcentral describes it as "partial 16S ribosomal RNA". It matches the Rfam family "Bacterial small subunit ribosomal RNA", at positions 29 to 506 of the family's 1533-position model. The record is from RNAcentral.